Long non-coding RNA from Canis lupus familiaris (dog), 277 nucleotides. RefSeq lists it as uncharacterized. The record is from RefSeq and is a predicted model, not a curated record. Lineage: Eukaryota; Metazoa; Chordata; Mammalia; Carnivora; Canidae. The transcript has 3 exons.
GGAUCACUCUCUGAACUGAAGGCAGACACUCAACCACUGAGCCACCCAGGCAUCCCUAACAGGUGGAAAGUUUUUUUUGUGUGUGUGGAAGACCAACUCAGAGCAGUCCUGUGACAAAUCAUACACUGCUUUCUCCAUCCUCACAGUUCUGUAAGGGGAAAAGAUCUGUGUCAUGGGUGUUUGUGUUUCCUACAGGAAGGCGGAAAACCAGGCCAGGAGAAAGAAAAGAAAGAAAAUGAUCUCUUAUUGAAUAGUUCCAAUAAACCAAGCACUGGAC